Molecule: ribosomal RNA, 780 nt
Filed under: uncultured organism
Description: bacterial SSU rRNA
Rfam family: Bacterial small subunit ribosomal RNA
Source: RNAcentral
CGAACGGGCUCUUCGGAGCUAGUGGCGGACGGGUGAGUAACGCGUGAGAAUCUGCUCAGGAGGGGGAUAACGACUGGAAACGGUCGCUAAUACCCAUAUGCCUACGGGUGAAAUGGUUUCGCCUGAAGAUGAGCUCGCGUCCGAUUAGCUAGUUGGUGAGGUAAGAGCUUACCAAGGCAACGAUCGGUAGCUGGUCUGAGAGGAUGAUCAGCCACACUGGGACUGAGACACGGCCCAGACUCCUACGGGAGGCAGCAGUGGGGAAUUUUCCGCAAUGGGCGCAAGCCUGACGGAGCAAGACCGCGUGCGGGAUGACGGCCUAAUGGUUGUAAACCGCUUUUCUCUGGGAAGAAGAUGACGGUACCAGAGGAAUAAGCCUCGGCUAACUCCGUGCCAGCAGCCGCGGUAAUACGGAGGAGGCAAGCGUUAUCCGGAAUUAUUGGGCGUAAAGCGUCCGUAGGUGGUUCAUCAAGUCAGCUGUUAAAGAGCGGAGCUCAACUCCGUCGGAGCGGUUGAAACUGGUGAACUAGAGUUUGGUAGGGGUCGAGGGAAUUCCCAGUGUAGCGGUGAAAUGCGUAGAUAUUGGGAAGAACACCGGUGGCGAAAGCGCUCGGCUGGGCCAAAACUGACACUGAGGGACGAAAGCUAGGGGAGCGAAAGGGAUUAGAUACCCCUGUAGUCCUAGCCGUAAACGAUGGGUACUAGGUGUUGCUCGCGAUCGACCCGAGCAGUGCCGUAGCUAACGCGUUAAAGUAUCCCGCCUGGGGAGUACGCUCGCAA